Molecule: non-coding RNA, 45 nt
Filed under: Echinostoma caproni
Lineage: Eukaryota; Metazoa; Platyhelminthes; Trematoda; Plagiorchiida; Echinostomatidae
Source: RNAcentral
GUACUGCUGACGAGUCCCAAACAGAACGAAACACCUGUCCAGGAA